AUUGAACGCUGGCGCAGGCUUAACACAUGCAAGUCGAACGUAACAUAAAGAAGCUUGCUUCUUGAUGACGAGUGGCGGACGGGUGAGUAAUGCUUGGAAUUAGCUUAUGGAGGGGGAUACUACGGGAAAUGUAAUAAUACCGCGUAGUAUCGAGAGAUGAAAGUGUGGACCUUCGGGCCACAUGCCAUAGGAUGAGCCAAGUGGGUUAGGUAGUUGUGAGUAAAGGCUCACCAAGCCGACGAUCUCUACUGGUCUGAGAGGAUGACCAGCCACACUGGACUGAGACACGCCCAGACUCCUACGGGAGGCAGCAGUGGGGAAUAUUGCGCAAUGGGGGCAACCCUGACCACCAUGCCGCGUGAAUGAAGAAGGCCUUCGGGUUGUAAAGUUCUUUCCGGUAGCGAGGAAGGCAUUAGUAAUAACUAGGUGAUUGACGUUAACUA
RNAcentral lists this ribosomal RNA (443 nucleotides) under Terrahaemophilus aromaticivorans. Its description in RNAcentral is "bacterial SSU rRNA". It matches the Rfam family "Bacterial small subunit ribosomal RNA", at positions 30 to 481 of the family's 1533-position model. Lineage: Bacteria; Pseudomonadati; Pseudomonadota; Gammaproteobacteria; Pasteurellales; Pasteurellaceae. The record is from RNAcentral.